CUUGAAUGAACACCACAAUAACUGAAUUUCCCCCAUUUUUAUCAGCAACCUUGUAUAACCUUCCUGGAAUUUGUUUGAGGAUUACGAAUAAAGCAGGAACACCCCCCUAAGAAUUGCAUAUACACCAAGGCACAUGUUCCUAGUUGUCAGAUACAUCCCCCGGAAACGAGCGAUAUUAUUUCGAGGCUUUCCUACAUUUAAAAAAUAAACAUGUUCAACUUGUUCUACAACAGGAAUCCACCCCACAAAAUACAAUUCAUGUAUAAAGUAGGAUCCACUGUUUCAAAACUAGAGUUUCUACCUUUCUCCCCUGUUUUCUCACCAUAAAGUGAAGUCAGCUUCUUGUAUUUUUGUUGACGAAAUCACGAGCAACAUGCUGACUAGAAAAUCAUUCAAAAACUAAACUCUUCUUUACAUCGUUGUCUUGUUUAUAC
Molecule: long non-coding RNA, 434 nt
Filed under: Populus tremula
Lineage: Eukaryota; Viridiplantae; Streptophyta; Magnoliopsida; Malpighiales; Salicaceae
Description: long non-coding RNA (PTRE_LNC002561)
Source: RNAcentral